This 77-nucleotide non-coding RNA is filed under the name Candidatus Vecturithrix granuli. Its description in RNAcentral is "Bacterium UASB270 c-di-GMP sequence". It matches the Rfam family "c-di-GMP-I-GGC riboswitch aptamer". The record is from Rfam by way of RNAcentral. Lineage: Bacteria; Candidatus Moduliflexota; Candidatus Vecturitrichia; Candidatus Vecturitrichales; Candidatus Vecturitrichaceae.
CCUGAUAAAGCCAAACUCGUCGUGAGGCGGGGACGGAAAGCCACGGGUCUUAGAAUAAGAUAGCCGGGUUACCUGGA